UGGGUGAUUUGCCCUGCACUUUGGGAUAAGCCUGGGAAACUGGGUCUGAUACCGAAUACACCCUGCUGGUCGCAUGGCCUGGUGGGGGAAAGCUUUUGCGGUGUGGGAUGGGCCCGCGGCCUAUCAGCUUGUUGGUGAGGUAAUGGCUCACCAAGGCGACGACGGGUAGCCGGCCUGAGAGGGCGAUCGGCCACACGUGGGACUGAGACACGGUCCAGACUCCGUACGGGA
RNAcentral lists this ribosomal RNA (231 nucleotides) under uncultured bacterium. Its description in RNAcentral is "partial 16S ribosomal RNA". It matches the Rfam family "Bacterial small subunit ribosomal RNA", at positions 118 to 346 of the family's 1533-position model. The record is from RNAcentral.